Molecule: ribosomal RNA, 620 nt
Filed under: uncultured archaeon
Lineage: Archaea
Description: bacterial SSU rRNA
Rfam family: Archaeal small subunit ribosomal RNA
Source: RNAcentral
CCCUACGGGGCGCAGCAGGCGCGAAAACUUUACAAUGCGGGAAACCGUGAUAAGGGAACACCGAGUGCCAGCAUCAUAUGCUGGCUGUCCAGAUGUGUAAACUACAUCUGUUAGCAAGGGCCGGGCAAGACCGGUGCCAGCCGCCGCGGUAACACCGGCGGCCCGAGUGGUGACCGUUAUUAUUGGGUCUAAAGGGUCCGUAGCCGGUUUGGUCAGUCCUCCGGGAAAUCUGAUAGCUUAACUGUUAGGCUUUCGGGGGAUACUGCCAGGCUUGGAACCGGGAGAGGUAAGAGGUACUACAGGGGUAGGAGUGAAAUCUUGUAAUCCCUGUGAGACCACCUGUGGCGAAGGCGUCUUACCAGAACGGGUUCGACGGUGAGGGACGAAAGCUGGGGGCACGAACCGGAUUAGAUACCCGGGUAGUCCCAGCCGUAAACUAUGCUCGCUAGGUGUCAGGCAUGGCGCGACCGUGUCUGGUGCCGCAGGGAAGCCGUGAAGCGAGUCACCUGGGAAGUACGGCCGCAAGGCUGAAACUUAAAGGAAUUGGCGGGGGAGCACAACAACGGGUGGAGCCUGCGGUUUAAUUGGACUCAACGCCGGACAACUCACCGGGAACGACA